UUGUUCGGAUUCACUGGGCGUAAAGGGUGCGUAGGCGGUCGGGUAAGUCUGGCGUGAAAUCUCCAAGCCUAACUUGGAAACUGCGUUGGAUACUAUCCGGCUCGAGGAAUGGAGGGGAGACUGGAAUACUUGGUGUAGCAGUGAAAUGCGUAGAUAUCAAGUGGAACACCAGUGGCGAAGGCGAGUCUCUGGACAUUUCCUGACGCUGAGGCACGAAAGCCAGGGGAGCAAACGGG
RNAcentral lists this ribosomal RNA (236 nucleotides) under uncultured bacterium. RNAcentral describes it as "partial 16S ribosomal RNA". It matches the Rfam family "Bacterial small subunit ribosomal RNA", at positions 541 to 776 of the family's 1533-position model. The record is from RNAcentral.